This is a long non-coding RNA of Cavia porcellus (domestic guinea pig), 3723 nucleotides long. RefSeq lists it as uncharacterized. NCBI's taxonomy places the organism in Eukaryota, Metazoa, Chordata, Mammalia, Rodentia, Caviidae. The record is from RefSeq and is a predicted model, not a curated record. The transcript has 2 exons.
UUUUUGUGGGGGAGGAUUGUAUUUUUCUUUCUUUUUUCUCUUUUUUGUAUUGUGGAGUAUCAAACCCAGGCUAGGCACACUCCAAGCCCUCUUCUAAACAUUUCUGGUAUUUGAAUUGAUUAUUAUGUAAAAAAAAAACCUUAAAAAUGCCCAUAACUUUGGACCUUGUAAUAUCUGCCUCCAUGCAAGAAUAGCACAUUAUACAUAUACAUAUACAUAUACAUAUACAUAUAUUCACAUGUAAACAUUUGAAUAAUAAAAUCAAGGGGAAAAAUAAUGAAACCUAGGAGGAAAGUUUGGUGAAAUGGAUCGUAUUGUGCAUACAAUCUACUGUUAUUUACAUAUCCACAUGAAGGAUUAAUUAGCAUGAAAUCGGUUCAUAUAAAUGCCUCAGCUGUGGGGGGGGGAGCCCCACAAGUUAUUUUUAUAUGAGAAAAAUAGCAAAGCAAUCAAAAACCUUAGAAAAGUACUUAUUACUUCUGAUUUGUGAACCAGAUUCUUGCCUUCUCACUUCUGCUGCCCACAUAAAAUGUUUGCUUCCAACUAAACUUGCCUAAUGACCUUCUCCAGUGUCAUAAAAUGAAAGCUUCAUUGUAUUUAAUCAGGAACAAGGCCACCUAGAGGCAGCCGAAAUAGCUCAGUUGGGAGAGUGUUAGACUGAAGAUCUAAAGGUCCCUGGUUCAAUCCCGGGUUUCGGCAGUGGCUUCAGCACAACUUGUGCUAUUACUUUUGAACUUCAGGCAAGUGUGAAAAUGAGGGCUGUCCACAGCGGCUGUGGGGAAAUUUGGACAGUCUUCGUUUCUGUGGUGCUAGAUUUAACUAGACUGUGCACUUUCAUCUGCUACAUCCAAAUCCCCCACCCGGCAUCAUCCUGUCCUCUUCCAGCCUUGCAGCCCUUCUACCUUUGCCCCAGAAGCUUUGCAGUUCAUGCUCCAAAGGACAGACAGACAGGCCCUACGACUAUUUCAGGUUCUCAAACCCUGCAGUUUGCAACUGUAUUUGCUUCCAUCACCAAUUUGUCUAUCACUGGGAAGGGACAACGAGCCUAGAGGCACAGAUUCCUGGGGAACACCUAGGGCACAGGUACCCACCUGUCCCCAGGAACUGGACACUCCUCCUCGGGGCUCAGGCAGAGGAGGGAGCAGCAAGCUGGAGGCUCCAUACUGGAUCCUGAUUUUCGAGCUAACAGCUGGGCAUGGGACCCAUGCUUAUAAUUCCAGCAGUUGGAAAGCUGAAGCAGGAGAUUGCCAAAAAUUCAAGGCCAAUCGAGAACUACAUAAUGAGUUUAGGGCCACAUUGAACUAUCCAGUGAGUUCCUGUCUCAAACUAAAAAUAGAAAAAAACCCCAACUAAACACAGCAAGACAGCUUCGUGACAAUGGGCCUCCUUCUGAGGGAGGAAAUGCAAUGGGGCAGCGCACUUUCCGGCAGCUCUCUGUUCAUCCAGUUGCAGAUCUCUGGUCACCUGCUAAGCUGCCAGUGGAUGAGGGGCUCUGUCCUCCGAGUGCUUCGGCUCUUGGGAGACUGAUGCACUCUAUUAGGAAUCCUUUGGAAGAUCCAAGCAUUAUCAGAAGGAAGGGCACCGAGAUGGCAGCCUCAAAAGUUGGGCAGAGUGAGCUCUGAAUAAAUUGUCAAAUCGGGACUGGUCAUUUUAUUGGCCAGUGUCAUUAAACUGCAGCAACCAGUGGCUCGCUCUGGCAGAUCUUGUGAAAGUAUUCAUCGUUAGAGGCAGGAUUAGCAUUCCCCUCGGUGGGCUUUGAGAAGCCUGGUUGUACCUCAUCCACUUACUGGAGGCCCCCAAGAGCAAAGAUUUCAGCUGACAAGGAAGGGGUUCUUAGAACUGAUGGAAAACCCGCCCAGUAAUUUGAGUAACUGAAUGAAUCUGGAGCGCUCCAACUGCAUCAGGUGGAUCCGUCCAUUGAUAGAUUCAAGGCUCAGCAGGCUCCUUGGGAAACAGUCGGGCUGGGUGGGGUGGGUGCUAGGUGGAGGUUGGUUAUCUUUGGAGCGUUUAUCUUGACCCCUUCCCAGCUUUCAGCGCAUCUUCUGCUCCUUCUCUGGCUCCACUGUGUCCAGCUCCUGGCCGCCCUAAGGUAUAGCUUUCCACUAUGAAGGAAUUGGCUGGGGCCAUCGUGAUCCAUGAACCCUGACACCCACCUGCACCGGGCCUCAGGACAUCAUUGGCUCACUCCUUGCGCUUCCCCAGCCUCCUCCUUGGGCAGCCACGACCUCUGGGCUCUCGCAAGCCAGGUGCAGCAGGGAGCCUCGAGCACCCCUCACCGAAGUCCCCUGCCCACGACCCUGAGAAAGAUGCCACCGCUCUGGGGGGAGCUGCCGCUCUGGCCUCAGUGCCAGCCCGGUCCUUCAGGUUUGUUUUGCAGCAAAUCUGCCCGGCGGAGCCCAAACCUGUUUCUUUUUCCUUCCCCUCUCUCCCAUGCCCUUCCGUCACCGGGUUUCUGGGUGUGCGGAAACACCUGAAACCAUGACCCAAGUAAAUACUUUCUUCUUUCUUCCUUAGACGCAGACAGGCACCUGUAAUGACAUCAUUUCGGUUUCCCUAGGGUGCUCCAACCAGGGCGCCGGCUGCACCUUGCAGCUCUCCUUGCCAAGGGCGGGCAGAUGCUUCAGUCUCAGCGUACGCCCGGGGAAGGGGAGGGCAAGCCCGGCUCCACUGCCCCAGCCGAUCACCCACAUGGGCCGCGCUCCCGGGAGACCCAGGCCUCUGUCCCGGGGGCAGCGCCUGGGUUCACGAGGACAGCAGGCCUGGGGCCGAGUCAGCGUCGCCGUCCCGGGGAACCAGGACGUUUUUCUUCGCGUUACCAUGGGAACCGCGCUCCCAACCCCGCCCCUUUGGGAGUUUCCGGGAUCACCCCGCACCCCAGCUGCGUGUGAUUUUCUUUUAUUACAGAAGUCUCCGCUGAGAGCUCAGAACCGUAGCGAGAACGUUGGUUCUCCUUUGCAGGUGAUGAAGCCGGCAGGGAGGUGACAACCCAUGUAGCCGCGGAAUCACCCCAGCCCAGGAGACAGCGCGGCACCAGCCGAUCCAGUUGGGAACUGAUGAGGGGUGCGAUUGUCCUUAACAGUGGCCUCUGACCUGCGCGCCUACGGCUGAGACUGUUCCCUUCUCCGCUCGCGGCUGUGCGGAGCGCGAGCCCCAGCGCACCAGGGGCUCCGCAUCCGCAGCACUACGUGGGUCGUGCCCUGUCUCUGCAGGGUGCUGCUACGGCCCGGCCCGCUGCGCGACUCGAUGUUUCGGAACCAAGUGGGUAGGGGCAGAUUCACAAUCAGCCUAGAAUGCUGCUGCGGGUUCACGUCCUUAGAGUGCUUUUCAGGAGCUGAGACAAGACUUGAUAGUGUGAGCCCGGAUAGCUCAGUCGGUAGAGCAUCAGACUUUUAAUCUGAGGGUCCAGGGUUCAAGUCCCUGUUCGGGCGCACCUAAAUUUUUAUAGUAAUUUUUACAAAAUGAGAAACUGGCUUUAGGAUACGCGUGUGCUGCCGAGUGUUCAGGUUCUCGGUGAGGUCUACUCAUCCCGGGGCCGCGGCCAGCUGAGCUUCUUUUCAGUCUCUGGGGCUCCAGAGCUCUCCCGCCUCCUCCCACUGUCUAAGCCUAGCUGCCUCGGGAGGAACGGAUAAUAGCAGCAGCAGCCGACCACUCACAAGCCUGGACGAUUGGGAUGAUAACGCACGCGUUCAGUAUUAAAGUGAUCAUUAUUAUCAUUAUGAAGAA